Molecule: ribosomal RNA, 433 nt
Filed under: uncultured bacterium
Lineage: Bacteria
Description: partial 16S ribosomal RNA
Rfam family: Bacterial small subunit ribosomal RNA
Source: RNAcentral
AACGAACGCUGGCGGCAGGCCUAACACAUGCAAGUCGAGCGGACCCUUCGGGGUUAGCGGCGGACGGGUGAGUAACGCGUGGGAAUAUGCCCUUCUCUACGGAAUAGUCCUGGGAAACUGGGGGUAAUACCGUAUACGCCCUUUGGGGGAAAGAUUUAUCGGAGAAGGAUCGGCCCGCGUUGGAUUAGGUAGUUGGUGGGGUAAUGGCCCACCAAGCCGACGAUCCAUAGCUGGUUUGAGAGGAUGAUCAGCCACACUGGGACUGAGACACGGCCCAGACUCCUACGGGAGGCAGCAGUGGGGAAUCUUAGACAAUGGGGGCAACCCUGAUCUAGCCAUGCCGCGUGAGUGAUGAAGGCCUUAGGGUUGUAAAGCUCUUUCAGCUGGGAAGAUAAUGACGGUACCAGCAGAAGAAGCCCCGGCUAACUCCGUG